Molecule: ribosomal RNA, 1438 nt
Filed under: uncultured organism
Description: SSU rRNA
Rfam family: Bacterial small subunit ribosomal RNA
Source: RNAcentral
AGGCUUAACACAUGCAAGUCGAGGGGCAGCAUUUCAGUUUGCUUGCAAACUGGAGAUGGCGACCGGCGCACGGGUGAGUAACACGUAUCCAACCUGCCGAUAACUCGGGGAUAGCCUUUCGAAAGAAAGAUUAAUACCCGAUGGUAUAAUCAGACCGCAUGGUCUUGUUAUUAAAGAAUUUCGGUUAUCGAUGGGGAUGCGUUCCAUUAGGCAGUUGGUGAGGUAACGGCUCACCAAACCUUCGAUGGAUAGGGGUUCUGAGAGGAAGGUCCCCCACAUUGGAACUGAGACACGGUCCAAACUCCUACGGGAGGCAGCAGUGAGGAAUAUUGGUCAAUGGGCGCAGGCCUGAACCAGCCAAGUAGCGUGAAGGAUGACUGCCCUAUGGGUUGUAAACUUCUUUUAUAUGGGAAUAAAGUUUUCCACGUGUGGAAUUUUGUAUGUACCAUAUGAAUAAGGAUCGGCUAACUCCGUGCCAGCAGCCGCGGUAAUACGGAGGAUCCGAGCGUUAUCCGGAUUUAUUGGGUUUAAAGGGAGCGUAGGUGGACAGUUAAGUCAGUUGUGAAAGUUUGCGGCUCAACCGUAAAAUUGCAGUUGAUACUGGCUGUCUUGAGUACAGUAGAGGUGGGCGGAAUUCGUGGUGUAGCGGUGAAAUGCUUAGAUAUCACGAAGAACUCCGAUUGCGAAGGCAGCUCACUGGACUGCAACUGACACUGAUGCUCGAAAGUGUGGGUAUCAAACAGGAUUAGAUACCCUGGUAGUCCACACAGUAAACGAUGAAUACUCGCUGUUUGCGAUAUACAGUAAGCGGCCAAGCGAAAGCAUUAAGUAUUCCACCUGGGGAGUACGCCGGCAACGGUGAAACUCAAAGGAAUUGACGGGGGCCCGCACAAGCGGAGGAACAUGUGGUUUAAUUCGAUGAUACGCGAGGAACCUUACCCGGGCUUAAAUUGCAUUUGAAUAUAUUGGAAACAGUAUAGCCGUAAGGCAAAUGUGAAGGUGCUGCAUGGUUGUCGUCAGCUCGUGCCGUGAGGUGUCGGCUUAAGUGCCAUAACGAGCGCAACCCUCAUCUUUAGUUACUAACAGGUCAUGCUGAGGACUCUAGAGAGACUGCCGUCGUAAGAUGUGAGGAAGGUGGGGAUGACGUCAAAUCAGCACGGCCCUUACGUCCGGGGCUACACACGUGUUACAAUGGGGGGUACAGAAGGCAGCUACCUGGUGACAGGAUGCUAAUCCCAAAAGCCUCUCUCAGUUCGGAUCGAAGUCUGCAACCCGACUUCGUGAAGCUGGAUUCGCUAGUAAUCGCGCAUCAGCCAUGGCGCGGUGAAUACGUUCCCGGGCCUUGUACACACCGCCCGUCAAGCCAUGAAAGCCGGGGGUACCUGAAGUACGUAACCGCAAGGAGCGUCCUAGGGUAAAACUGGUAAUUGGGGCUAAG